CCAGGCCAGGGGUCCAAUUGGAGCUGUAGCCACCAGCCUACAUUACAGCUCACAGCAACGCCGGACCCUCAACCCACUGAGCGAGGCCAGGGAUCGAACCCGCAACCCCAUGGUUCCUAGUCGGAUUCAUUAACCACUGAGCCACAACAGGAACUCUGGGUUAAGUCAUUUUUUUCAGUUGUAUAAAUUGGUUACUGCAGCUCUGAGCCUAGAGCUGAAACCUCCUACUUCCGGGUGUUGAUCUUUCUAGAUAGCGCUCAUGGGCUUGCUUCCAACUCCAACUAUGACUUGACAUUAAAUAAGUCAUUAUACCUCACUGCCAUGGUCUUUCUUUGUGUAUACUCUUGCCUGAUAAUCUUUCUUAUUUACAGAAUCAGGCUAAUGACCGCCCUUCUUUGCAUCCCAGGAUGAAAUGGAUACUGUUUUCCUCUUCCUGUCAACCUGUCUAUAGUUAGAAAUGUGACGGACAGGAUAUGGGCCACGUGACAAAGCCUCCUUCGCCAUUAGCCAGAGAGCACCUCCCACAGAGUGCAUCUUAUGUAGGAACUACACUCCCCUAUACCUAUACUGACACCUAAUUGAGCUCACAACAUCCUAUGUUCCCAUCUCUUUCUGUAAUUAUUUUUUCUUGAACAAACUUCUUAAAGGCAAAAACUUCCCUAUGCUAAAAAGGUAAAUGAUCAGACUCCCAGAAGUUGUGGAUCUAGGAGAAGGCAGUCAAUUACUAACACAGAAACAAAAUUAUCCGAAGCCCUUGAGCUGCAGGGAGAUCCUGCCAUGACAGAGACCACUGGCUGCCCAUACAAUAUCCGUCCUUCUCUUUAAACUUAGUAGCAGAACAUGUGUAUUUUGAGGGGAGCAAAGUGACUGGAGAAAAUUAACUUUCCCAACAUCCCCUGAAGAUAGAGCUGACCAAUGAGAUAUUAGCAGAAGUUCUUAGGUACGGUCUCUAGGAAGGAAUUUUAAGAAAGCUAUUGAACCAGAACUAUCCUUCUGGUUAGUUCCAUCCUUCAUUCUUCUUCCUUUGGUGAGACAGACAUGAUAGCCAGAGCAGUAGUAGCCGUCUUGAGCCCAUGAAGGAAGGAGACCAAGAGAAGCUCAGUUACCCUGACAUCCUUGAAGACACCAAAGCAGCUUCUUAUUAAGAAAACAAACCCAUAGGGAGUUCUCGUCAUGGCUCAGUGGAAACGAAUCUGACUAGCAUCCAUAAGGACGCAGGUUCAAUCCCUGGCCUUGCUCAGUGGGUUAAGGAUCUGGCAUUGCUGUGAGCUGUGGUGUAGGCCAGCAGCUACAGCUCUGAUUUGACCCCUAGCCUGAGAACCUCCAUAUGCCAUAUGCGUGGCCCUAAAAAGGCAAAACGAAAGAAAGAAAACGAACCCUUAAAGUUUUAGACCAUGGGGGAAUGUUUAGGACAGUGAAAAGAUCCUGUGUGUCGGUGAAGUAAGAUACUGAAUUUGUUAUAAAUGUUACCAGAUGAUGAUGAUGACAUUACAUUUAUGAAGGUGACAGGCAUGGAGGCAGGUUGAGUAGCUCAUCCCAGGUCUCCCGGCUAAUAAAAAGGAAGCUGGGCUUUGAAUCCAGAGUCCAUGCUUUGAACUCCAAGACAAUAAUAUCACACACAACAAAGAAAUACAGUCUGCACAAGUUAACCUCCACAUAUACACAAUAUUAAAGGAGCUUCGUUGAUUCAUUAACAAAAAUCUUACUACAUGUCAUCCUACACUGCUUCCCUACUUGAGAGAUCACUUCCUGUAGGAACUGAGGUGCUUGUUAAGCUGGCAAUACAUUUGACUGGUGUCAUAGCUGCCUUACGUGUUACCUUAAAUACCGCUGGGACCAUGAUCACAGAGUCCACUGCAAGACUCAUCUCCCAAAAAUGAGCUCUGAUCACAUCCGAGCCCUUCGCCCACGUCUUCAGCAGACCUGACACCUGAGCCACAGCGGAACUCCCGAACUAUCCCUAAGUUAAAUGAUUUACCGGUUAAGUUGGGAAGAGGUUUGGGGGCUUCAGUUGCAGACAGAGAAAGAGAGGUAUAAACAGCUGUCCCCUUGCUGCGGUUUACUGUGUAAAGGGGUGUUGGGGGUGGGGAGGGAGUGGACAUUUGUUUUUAAAUAAAACCCAGCAUUCAUGGUGCUUUGUAAAAAAUCUAUCUAAGUCUAGCCUAAUGGGGGCUCCCAGAGCAGGUGGACUCUGGUCAUUUUGCUUCUCUCCUCUUGGGCAGCACACAUUCACCUGGGGCCUUGUUUUCUAGGGAAGGGGAUGUGGGGGGGAGGGGAGAGGGGCGAGAAGGGUGUGAGGGUGACCAACUGAAUUGCCUCAUGAACCCUGAAAUGCAGCUGAUUUGGAGCUUUUUCAUUCUUCGUUCAUUUGAAACCUUAUAGAGCCCUUGUUUGUGCAAUGUGACGUGUUAGUCUAAUGGGGCAAGAAAAGCACUUCAGACCAUCAGACGUGGGUGCUGCCCAUGCCCCCACCCCUGGAGCCCCAGACGCUGGGGAGAUGCCACAGCCAGAGGCUGCACCCUGCACAUAUAUGCACGAGACUCUGGAGGCAGGGAGCAAAAGCCUGUCGCAUCCUGUGAGCAGGGGGGCACUGCUCGAAAUAGCUCAAUUUGAAGAGAACUAAAAUGAGUCA
This 2632-nucleotide long non-coding RNA is filed under the name Sus scrofa (pig). RNAcentral's name for it is "lncRNA (ENSSSCG00000053036.1)". Lineage: Eukaryota; Metazoa; Chordata; Mammalia; Artiodactyla; Suidae. The record is from RNAcentral.